RNAcentral lists this ribosomal RNA (208 nucleotides) under Klebsiella pneumoniae. Its description in RNAcentral is "partial 23S ribosomal RNA". It matches the Rfam family "Bacterial large subunit ribosomal RNA", at positions 1 to 200 of the family's 2925-position model. Lineage: Bacteria; Pseudomonadati; Pseudomonadota; Gammaproteobacteria; Enterobacterales; Enterobacteriaceae. The record is from RNAcentral.
GGGUUGUGAGGUUAAGCGACUAAGCGUACACGGUGGAUGCCCUGGCAGUCAGAGGCGAUGAAGGACGUGCUAAUCUGCGAAAAGCGUCGGUAAGGUGAUAUGAACCGUUAUAACCGGCGAUGUCCGAAUGGGGAAACCCAGUGCAAUUCGUUGCACUAUCGUUAACUGAAUACAUAGGUUAACGAGGCGAACCGGGGGAACUGAAACA